UACGGAGGGGGCUAGCGUUGUUCGGAAUUACUGGGCGUAAAGCGCACGUAGGCGGCUUUGUAAGUUAGAGGUGAAAGCCCGGGGCUCAACUCCGGAAUUGCCUUUAAGACUGCAUCGCUAGAAUUGUGGAGAGGUAAGUGGAAUUCCGAGUGUAGAGGUGAAAUUCGUAGAUAUUGGGAAGAACACCGGUGGCGAAGGCGGCUCACUGGACCGGUACUGACGCUGAGGCGCGAAGGCGUGGGGAGCGAACGGG
This 253-nucleotide ribosomal RNA is filed under the name uncultured bacterium. RNAcentral describes it as "partial 16S ribosomal RNA". It matches the Rfam family "Bacterial small subunit ribosomal RNA", at positions 524 to 776 of the family's 1533-position model. The record is from RNAcentral.